UCCUUCAGUCCUCCAUCCUCUCGCGCCCCCUCCCGCACAGCUCCCUCCCUGUUUCCUCCUCAUCACCGUAGUCGCCGCAUUCCUCCCUCUUCCUCCUCCUUGUCACCACAACCGCUGGUCCCCUCGCUCCUCCCCCAUCCUCCCUUCCACUGCCGCACAAACCUUCCGGGUCGGGGCGAGGCAGAAGGUCGUGGCGAAUCUGGCGCCUGCAGGCAUACACAAUAGGAGUUGGUGGAGCGGCGGAUGCAGACGGGGUCGUUGACGGAGCUGCAGGAGCAAGGAGCUCGAGUGCGCCAUGAGGAGUGGAAGGCCGAGUUCGUGCGACGACCAGAGCGACAGGAGCAAGGAGCCUCCUCUAUCUCCCUCUCAGUGGUUGAGGACUUCCUCAAGAAGAAAGAAGAAGGCCAAAUAGAAGAAGAAUUUGGCUCAAAGAGUGCAUAAUGUCCCCUCAGGUUUGAAUUGCUCUGAAGUUAUCAGGGCAUUUCCUUAUAGGGCUUGUUCGCAUUUAUUCAUGGAAGGUGAACUACCUGUUUCAAGAUUGUAACCCACCUAAAAAAUCCCUUCUGCCUUCCUUUUUUUGUUUGUGUAUGUCGCUCUCUAAAGAUUGGUCAGCCUGACCAUGAAAGGGUGCUUCAGUUUAGAAAAGAAUGGUUUUUCUUUGUAUGAUUUUCAGGACAAAGGAGGCUGUGGAGGAACUCAUAAAUGCCGUGCUAAAUUAUUAAUUAGCCGUAUUCUUGAUUUUUCAUUUUUUAAAGAUAAUUGAGCACCAAGUCAUGUAGAGUUACUACCGUAUUAGUAUAUUUCUAACUGCAUGAUCGAAACUGUACAUUCAGAAAGUAUAGGCUGUUAUAUCAUUACUUUGUAAAUAAAUCACAUGUUAACUUCUUCUUUUUUUUUGCGGGAAAAUCACAUGUUAACUUGCUGGUUCAGUUUAAAGCUGCAGGCAGAGGCUUGCGGUAGGGAAAAAAAUAAUUUUGCCAGUUGAAAACCAAAGCGUUUAUUUGUGACUGUAUAAUCUGGACUACACUUUUAUGAAAGUAUGUUAGGCUCCUGCACUUGGGAGAUUAAGAGUUGUUGUGGUUUUUCUUGGUCCAGUGCCCCGAAGGGAGCUCACGUGCUAUGGUUAGUUCACGUGCUAAAAAACCAAUCUUUGAGAAAAUAGCAUGCUCAUUUUAGUUAUAUUGAUUAAUAGCAUCUCUAUGUUAUUAGAUACUCCCUCCGUUCUUUUUCAACUACUUAGAUCAUAUUUGAUUCCAAUGCUUGCUUUCAUAUCAUUGGUUUGUCCAAAGUUUAUGUUCAGAGAUUAUGCAUCAAAGAUAUGUUGGAUAUCCUACAAAAGAGUGAGAUGAUCGCUCAAUUCUAGCUUAUCUGCUUUACCUAAUAUAUAAAUUUUUUAUUUUUCUUUAUUUAGAUCACCUGAGUUUUAGGCAGUGAGUACUAGAAAGCAUUAUCACAUUUCAGUGCAUUUUCGUACUUUGCGAAGCAUUUCAGUUUUAUGGAUACGGGCAUUCAGUUGAGAACUGAGAACAAUUUUGUUUGACUUUUUCAGAUGAUAAUUUUUACCGGUUAUAGUUACAAUUACUAGAAGUAGCAAAGGUCUGGGUUAAUUUAGAGCUUGAGUUGGCAGCUAUGCUUUUUUGCGUUCUAGAUUAUGCAAAGAGAUUGCCAUGUUUUCUUUUAUUUCGGUUUAGUUCAUUCCCUUAUAUAUCCAGUUGUUUUCCGCAGAACAAAUAUAAAUGUUCAUGUUGUAAUGGAUGGAUAUGUUGAUGGCAUCGUCAUGUCAUGUAAAUUACAUGCAGAACAAAUCUAUAUUUUUGUUGGGACUAAAAGUGAAAACGAUAUUUGGGACCAAAACUUUUCAAAUAGCUCUGAAUAUGAAUUGGGACCCUGUGUUGUUUGGGGUGGAGCUGCAGGGAGUGAGAGGCGGAUAACAAUAGGGCGAAGAAGCAUGCCAUCGAGGAGUGCAAGCAGCGGCGCUCCUUCGCAAUGGGGUGUGGCUGCGGGGGAGGGAAGGCGGCCAACGACGGGGAGAAUGAGCAGGUCGUCGAGGAGUGCAAGCAGCAGGGUAAGAUGUGUAUUUUUUCAGACGAUCUUGAUUGUUUUGCAACAUGUAUUGCAUUUCCAUGGAUAAUCAUUUUUCUUAUUUAUUAUUUCCCAUGUUUGCUGAAGAUUAAUUUAGGCCCAUACAGUUUCUGUUGACUGGAAGUCUGAAACUGAAGAUAGGGCAUAUUGUUUUGGUUCCGAGUGGUUGGGGAUAUUGUGGAUUGAUGUCCCUAGAGCAGCUAGACCCUUCCAAGAGCAGCCUGAUUUCUUCUGCAACUCUUCCACCACAGUACAUGAAAAGGAAUAUGUUCUACCUAUCAGCACCAUUUCUUGAGGAGAAUUGUCCCUUUAUUUUGUCACACUUUGGUGUCCUUGAGUUCAGAAUAGAUUCACCUUUACUCUGAUUUUCUUUAUAUAUUCCCAGGUGCUAAAAUCCUAGGUAUCAAGGGCAUUGUGGUGGCGCGAUCAAUGUCUAUUGUGAUCGCUCGGCAUGGCGUCCAUAGCCCAUUGUGCUGCAUUCUUUGUUUUACGGAAAAUAUGUUCUUGCUUGAGGGUGAAUAUGUUCAUGAUUCAUAAUCAUUGUAUCUGAUUCAUAAGAAACAGUGAGAUGCUUUGUUAUGAGUUACGGUAUAGGCUUUGUAAAUUGUGCAUGCAAUUUGUUGAUGGUUAGGCUUCGAGCUCCAUUUCAAUAACUUUAGAGCUUUUUUUUA
Molecule: RNA transcript, 2753 nt
Organism: Triticum dicoccoides
Lineage: Eukaryota; Viridiplantae; Streptophyta; Magnoliopsida; Poales; Poaceae
Exons: 3
Source: RefSeq, a predicted model, not a curated record